This 71-nucleotide transfer RNA is filed under the name Stegodyphus mimosarum. It matches the Rfam family "tRNA". From Rfam's summary of the family: Transfer RNA (tRNA) molecules are approximately 80 nucleotides in length. Their secondary structure includes four short double-helical elements and three loops (D, anti-codon, and T loops). The record is from Rfam by way of RNAcentral. Lineage: Eukaryota; Metazoa; Arthropoda; Arachnida; Araneae; Eresidae.
GCAUUCGUGGUGUAACGGUAGCACACUAGACACGUAUUCGAGAGGCCCAGGUUCGAGUCCCGGCGAGGCCA